CCGCCCCUAGGGAGGCAGCAGUGGGGAAUAUUGGGCAAUGGGCGCAAGCCUGACCCAGCAACGCCGCGUGAAGGAAGAAGGCUUUCGGGUUGUAAACUUCUUUUCUCAGGGACGAAGAAAGUGACGGUACCUGAGGAAUAAGCCACGGCUAACUACGUGCCAGCAGCCGCGGUAAUACGUAGGUGGCAAGCGUUAUCCGGAUUUAUUGGGUGUAAAGGGCGUGUAGGCGGGAGCGCAAGUCGGAUGUGAAAACUCAGGGCUCAACCCUGAGCCUGCAUUUGAAACUGUGUUUCUUGAGUGCUGGG
This 305-nucleotide ribosomal RNA is filed under the name uncultured bacterium. RNAcentral's name for it is "bacterial SSU rRNA". It matches the Rfam family "Bacterial small subunit ribosomal RNA", at positions 333 to 653 of the family's 1533-position model. The record is from RNAcentral.